Xenopus laevis (African clawed frog) is the source of this 716-nucleotide non-coding RNA. Lineage: Eukaryota; Metazoa; Chordata; Amphibia; Anura; Pipidae. The record is from the annotation of a RefSeq genome assembly.
GCAUACACAAAGUGUGUGGUGAGUUCCCUGUAGAUAUAAGAUGCUAUAAAUGUUCUAUUUCCUAUGUGACGUCUCAGUGAUCUGCACCUGACACUGCUCCUACUGUCAGUAUGGGGAGAUACUUACUGCUUGUCCUCUCCGCUCUCUUCUCUCUCUCUGUUCCAGGUUCUUAUGGGCAGAUUGUACUGACUCAGUCUCCAGAUUAUGUCUCUGUGUCACCAGGAGAAACUGUCACCAUCACAUGUAAAGCCAGUAGCAGUGUUACUGACGAUGAUGGAGACAGUGCUAUAGCCUGGUACCAACAGAAAUCAGGGCAGGCACCAAAGCUGCUGAUCUAUGAGGCAAGUACCCGACACACAGGGACCCCAGAGCGGAUCAGCGGCAGUGGGUCUGGAACUGAUUUCACUCUUACAAUCAGCAGAAUGGAAGCAGAAGAUGCAGCAGAUUAUUACUGUCAGCAGGGUCUAUAUUCCCCUCUCACACAGUGAUACAGAGCUGAACAAAAACCUCCCUGUUACUGUGCCAGUGAGUUAUUUACAUGAUUCUCUAUAAAGCUACAGAGCAUGACAUGAUAUUCUCAGUAGGGGAAGACUUGACACAGACAUAUCACAGCUGUACAGAGAUUGGAGAUCACAGUUCUGGGGAGGAUAAACUAUUGUGACACCAAUUCUGCUUAUUCUGAGAAAUACAAAAAAAUAUAUAAAACACCAACAUUC